UACGUAGGGUGCGAGCGUUGUCCGGAAUUAUUGGGCGUAAAGAGCUUGUAGGCGGUUUGUCGCGUCUGCCGUGAAAGUCCGGGGCUCAACUCCGGAUCUGCGGUGGGUACGGGCAGACUAGAGUGAUGUAGGGGAGACUGGAAUUCCUGGUGUAGCGGUGAAAUGCGCAGAUAUCAGGAGGAACACCGAUGGCGAAGGCAGCUCGCUGGGACGGUACUGACGCUGAGGCGCGAAAGCGUGGGGAGCAAACAGG
Molecule: ribosomal RNA, 253 nt
Filed under: uncultured bacterium
Lineage: Bacteria
Description: partial 16S ribosomal RNA
Rfam family: Bacterial small subunit ribosomal RNA
Source: RNAcentral